UCCUGUACCAGUGCUAAUUGUUUAACCGAUGGGGUGACACAGAAGGAUAGGGAAUCGCACGAAUGGAAAUGUGCGUCCAAGCAGUGAGUGUGAGAAGUAGGCAAAUCCGCUUCUCGCGAAGCAUGAGCUGUGAUGGGGAAGGAAAUUAAGUACGGAAGUUCCUGAUUUCACGCUGUCAAGAAAAGCCUCUAGGAAGAGUAGUACUGCCCGUACCGCAAACCGACACAGGUAGAUGAGGAGAGAAUCCUAAGGUGAGCGAGAGAACUCUCGUUAAGGAACUCGGCAAAAUGACCCCGUAACU
This 301-nucleotide ribosomal RNA is filed under the name Listeria monocytogenes. RNAcentral describes it as "bacterial LSU rRNA". It matches the Rfam family "Bacterial large subunit ribosomal RNA", at positions 1437 to 1735 of the family's 2925-position model. Lineage: Bacteria; Bacillati; Bacillota; Bacilli; Caryophanales; Listeriaceae. The record is from RNAcentral.